This 465-nucleotide ribosomal RNA is filed under the name Vreelandella stevensii. RNAcentral's name for it is "partial 16S ribosomal RNA". It matches the Rfam family "Bacterial small subunit ribosomal RNA", at positions 338 to 795 of the family's 1533-position model. Lineage: Bacteria; Pseudomonadati; Pseudomonadota; Gammaproteobacteria; Oceanospirillales; Halomonadaceae. The record is from RNAcentral.
CCUACGGGGGGCAGCAGUGGGGAAUAUUGGACAAUGGGCGAAAGCCUGAUCCAGCCAUGCCGCGUGUGUGAAGAAGGCCUUCGGGUUGUAAAGCACUUUCAGUGGGGAAGAAAGCCUUGGGGCUAAUACCCUCGAGGAAGGACAUCACCCACAGAAGAAGCACCGGCUAACUCCGUGCCAGCAGCCGCGGUAAUACGGAGGGUGCGAGCGUUAAUCGGAAUUACUGGGCGUAAAGCGCGCGUAGGCGGUCUGAUAAGCCGGUUGUGAAAGCCCCGGGCUCAACCUGGGAACGGCAUCCGGAACUGUCAGGCUAGAGUGCAGGAGAGGAAGGUAGAAUUCCCGGUGUAGCGGUGAAAUGCGUAGAGAUCGGGAGGAAUACCAGUGGCGAAGGCGGCCUUCUGGACUGACACUGACGCUGAGGUGCGAAAGCGUGGGUAGCAAACAGGACUAGAUACCCUUGUAGUC